RNAcentral lists this ribosomal RNA (533 nucleotides) under Kyklioacalles cf. erinaceus. Its description in RNAcentral is "partial 16S ribosomal RNA". It matches the Rfam family "Bacterial large subunit ribosomal RNA", at positions 1819 to 2624 of the family's 2925-position model. Lineage: Eukaryota; Metazoa; Arthropoda; Insecta; Coleoptera; Curculionidae. The record is from RNAcentral.
GGCCUUUUGAGUAUAAUUUAAGGUCUAGCCUGCCCAAUGAUGUAAAAGUUUAAUGGCCGCAGUAUUCUGACUGUGCAAAGGUAGCAUAAUCAUUAGUUUUUUAAUUGAAAGCUUGUAUGAAAGGUUUGAUGAGAAAGGAACUGUCUCUGUUUAAUUUUUAGAAAUUUAUUUUUAAGUUAAAAAGCUUAAAUUUUCAUUGAAGACGAGAAGACCCUAUAGAGUUUUAUUUAUAUAAGAAUAGCGAUAGUUUAGUAUUUAAAAUUUUAUUUUUAUAUGAAUUUAGUUGGGGUGAUUGAAAAAUUUAUAAAACUUUUUUUUUAUAAAUACAUUUAUUUAUGAAUAUUUGAUCCUUUUAAAGAUUAUAAGAUGAAAUUACCUUAGGGAUAACAGCGUAAUUUUUUUUAGAGUUCUUAUCGAAAGAAAAGAUUGCGACCUCGAUGUUGGAUUAAAAUUAAAUUUUUGGUGAAGAAGCUAAAAAAUUAGGUCUGUUCGACCUUUAAAUUUUUACAUGAUCUGAGUUUAAACCGGUGUAA